CCUACGGGAGGCAGCAGUGGGGAAUUUUGGACAAUGGGCGAAAGCCUGAUCCAGCAAUGCCGCGUGAGUGAAGAAGGCCUUCGGGUUGUAAAGCUCUUUUGUCAGGGAAGAAACGGUGGGAGCUAAUAUCUCUUGCUAAUGACGGUACCUGAAGAAUAAGCACCGGCUAACUACGUGCCAGCAGCCGCGGUAAUACGUAGGGUGCAAGCGUUAAUCGGAAUUACUGGGCGUAAAGCGUGCGCAGGCGGUUUUGUAAGUCUGAUGUGAAAUCCCCGGGCUCAACCUGGGAAUUGCAUUGGAGACUGCAAGGCUAGAAUCUGGCAGAGGGGGGUAGAAUUCCACGUGUAGCAGUGAAAUGCGUAGAUAUGUGGAGGAACACCGAUGGCGAAGGCAGCCCCCUGGGUCAAGAUUGACGCUCAUGCACGAAAGCGUGGGGAGCAAACAGGAUUAGAUACCCUGGUAGUCCACGCCCUAAACGAUGUCUACUAGUUGUCGGGUCUUAAUUGACUUGGUAACGCAGCUAACGCGUGAAGUAGACCGCCGUGGGGAGUACGGUUCGCAAGAUUAAAACUCAAAUUGAAUUGACGG
Molecule: ribosomal RNA, 588 nt
Filed under: uncultured bacterium
Lineage: Bacteria
Description: bacterial SSU rRNA
Rfam family: Bacterial small subunit ribosomal RNA
Source: RNAcentral